GAUGAACGCUGGCGGCGUGCUUAACACAUGCAAGUCGAACGGAGUGCCUUUGAAAGAGGAUUCGUCCAAUUGAUAAGGUUACUUAGUGGCGGACGGGUGAGUAACGCGUGGGAAACCUGCCCUGUACCGGGGGAUAACACUUAGAAAUAGGUGCUAAUACCGCAUAAGCGCACAGCUUCACAUGAAGCAGUGUGAAAAACUCCGGUGGUACAGGAUGGUCCCGCGUCUGAUUAGCCAGUUGGCAGGGUAACGGCCUACCAAAGCGACGAUCAGUAGCCGGCCUGAGAGGGUGAACGGCCACAUUGGGACUGAGACACGGGCCCAAACUCCUACGGGAGGCAGCAGUGGGGAAUAUUGCACAAUGGGGGAAACCCUGAUGCAGCGACGCCGCGUGAGUAAAGAAGUAUUUCGGGUAUGUAAAGCUCUAUCAGCAGGGAA
This 438-nucleotide ribosomal RNA is filed under the name uncultured bacterium. RNAcentral describes it as "bacterial SSU rRNA". It matches the Rfam family "Bacterial small subunit ribosomal RNA", at positions 28 to 446 of the family's 1533-position model. The record is from RNAcentral.